UUCGUUCAAUUGGGGACACAUCUCGAUAUUCAAUUCUCGUAACGAGGUGAGGGAACGCAUCUCCUGAGGCAGACACUUUAAUGCCAGGCAAAACCCAAUGGUUAGUCUUUGAAGACAAGUGAGAUUCCGCAGUCCAUCUCGAGGUAGAGAUUCGAGCUCUUCAAUGUACACAAUCGAAAGGUGCUUCAAUUUAGAGAGAGGAGGAAUGAUUGAGGAAGAAGAAGAGAUUGACGGUGUAAAUAUUUGGUGCACAAGUUGUGGGCUUGCUUUUUGCAAAUUUAGUGAUUCAUCGAGAGAUGGAAACUGAGGGAUGGAGGUCAAACUCGGGCAGUUAUUACAAGAGAAAUGUGAAAGACAAGGAAAUUGGAGUAGCUCAAGUGCUGUCGAAUCAUCCCUCUUCUUCUGCCAUCCUUUCAGCUUAGGACAACCAUGUAGAUUGAGAGUCUUUAGGGAUGGAAAGAAUGAUGUUUGUUGUCCCUCAAUCUCCAUGUAUUCUAAAUUAUCUAAUGUCCAAAUUUGUAAAUGUUGAAGAGAAGGGAUUUGAUCCAUUGGUGGGAGAUGCUGACAUCUCUUGCAAUACCAUAUACAGAGAUUGACAAGAUUCGUGGGGGCAGAGAACCAACUUGGGAACCUCCUGCCUCCAUAGCCAUGCACAUUUAACUCUUUAAGAUUGGGAUGUGGUUGGAGAUUUUGAAAUGCCAUUUCAUCUCUAUCAACAUUUGAAUCUUCCCAACUCUCCUUCCAAUGUAAUACCAAUGAUUGAAGGAGUGGCUUCUCUUUCAAAUUAACAUUUACAAUCUCAUUAUCCACACAUCCCAGAUUUCUAAUUUCAAGACUUCCCCUCAAAUUGUUAAGUUUAUUCAAUUCAUUUAUUUUUCCAACAUCCUUUGAGGAAAUAUGCCCUUUUGCCACUACGAACUGUGACAACGUCUGAAGUGAAGUCAACUGCCCAAGCCCACGUGGCAUAUGAGUCAAAGACUUACAACCUUCGCAAUAUAAAUGCCUAAGAUUCACAAGCUUUUUAAUAUCUUUAGGCAAUUCUUUGAGCCUCAAACAAUUAGAGAUAUUUAAUACUUGUAAAUUCAGCAAAUCCGUAAUAGAAUUUGGAAGUGCCCUAAAUUUCACAUUCCAAGAAACACCAAGAUACCUUAGAUGUUUUAGCAUUUUUAUACAACUAUCCACCAUCUCAAUGCCACAAUCACUCAUAUCAUACGCACGCAAGCACCUUAAAUUUUUAUGAAUAAACAGCUUAUUGUAAUCAUGUUUUCCAAGCAAAAGAAAUGAUCGUGGUCUUUUUGCAUUGUUAAAAAUUUCUUGUGGUGCAACAUCCAAAUUCAAUGCUACAUGACGGAUUUUCUCAUCAAUAUUUGGUGCAUCAAAAUUUACAAGCUGGAUCCUUGUCCCACCCACUGUGGUUGCGAGAUCGUGCAUUAAAUCAUGCAUUUUACAGCUUUCGACAUUUCCAAAUCUAUCUCUUUUCACCUCUUGAAAAAAUGACCUCCACCACAGUUUCAUAAAAUAUUCAAGCCCAAUAUCCUCAAGACGAUCACUCGUAAUUGGUGCCUCAACAAACCCUUGUGCAACCCAAAGAUGGAUUAAUGUUUUCACAUCAAUCUUAUAAUCUUUUGGAUAUAAUGCGCAGUAUGCAAAACAAUGCUUCAAAUGUGAUGGGAGAUGAUCAUAACUUAGCUUCAGUGUUGGCAUAAUAUCAUUAUCAUCUUGACUUAUUCUUGAGAGUUCAUUUCUUAAAAAGAGCGGCCACUCAGUUUCUGGAUUUUUCUCAUACAAGAGACUUGCGAUAGUUUUUAUAGCAAGAGGAACUCCACAACAUUUCUUCAAAAUCUCCUCUCCAAUCUCUCUUACAUUUACAUGUUUUGGCUCCUGCCCCUCAAGUGCUACAUGCAAAAACAAAGACCAAGACUCAUCCGGAGACAAACCUUCCAAAACGUGUGGUGCCAUUGUGCUAGAUAUAUCUGCCACCUUUUUAGAGCGAGUGGUUAUUAAUAUCUUACUUCCACUAGAGCCACCCACUAAUAAUCUCUUUAAAUUCUGCCAUUUUUCUCUAGUCUCAUUCCACACAUCAUCUAGAACAAGCAGAUAUUUCUUUCCAUCAAUAAUUCCUCCAAGUUGAGAUUUCAGUGCUUCUAACUCAAGAUCUUCUGAUUUAUUCCCUGUUGCAGACUCUAGAAUCUUUCUAACAAUCAUUUUCACAUCAAAAGGAUCUGAAACAUACACCCAUAUUCUUCGCUGAAAUGAACUCUGAAUCAGUUCAUCAUUGAAUAUGAUUUGAGCAAGAGUCGUCUUCCCUAACCCUCCCAUUCCAACAAUUGAGAGGACUGAAACGCACUCUUCACCAUUGGAAGACAAUACAAGUUCUGUAAUUGCCUUUUUGUCACCCUCUCUCCCAAUAAACACUUCAGGUAAAGAGGACUCAGUUUGAUCCCUCUCCACAGUCCUCUCCUGAUCAGUUCGAACCUCUAACUUAAAUAUUCUAUCACCUUCAAUAUCAGCUAGCCUCUCCCUAAUCGCCUUAAUUUUAUGACCCAUUUUAAAACCAUAAACAAGUUGAUUUGAAGACGAAAAGAAGAGACUUACCUCCUUUGUCAUUCUAUUUCCAGUCAUCACUCGGCGCCUUAGAGCUUCAGUGGCGAAGUCAUCUACCAAGUCAUCAGCAUCAUAAACAACUUCUUCUAGCCUCUCAAGCCAGCCUUUCACUUGACGGUUAAGUUUCUGCUGCUCCUCAGCAUCCAGAAGAACAUCGCGAAUACUAGAAACCGUGGCCUCAAGUUUCUUAAGCUCACCUUUGACGCCCCACCACAAUCUGAUCUCAUCAAGGGCUAGAUAACCCAGCUUGGUAAUGAUAUCUCCGACAACGUUAUAGAGAACUUCGUCGGCCAUUUUGGGUGUUUUGAUUUGAUUGUAAAAGGAUGAAAUGUUGCUGUGAAGAAGAAGAUGGGGAAAACAAAUGACUAAUAUUUAUAAGACAACAAGAAGAUGGUGACAACAAAUGACUAAUAUUUAUAAGACAACAAAUUGCAUUUGAAGUCUAAGGGUAUAGUUGAUGAUGUCGAAAGUGGAUGUAUAAUUUAAGCUUCCUUUAAAGAGUGAGAUGCUUGAUUGUUGAUGGCCACCCUUUCUUUGGGUAACGGGCCCCUUGAACCUCUUUUAUUUAGAUGUAUUACCACUUCCUCACGUCUAGAAUUGGAUUCCAAUUUGUUCCUUUUUCCCUGCUCCAUCUUUUGAUGAUUCCUAUAAUAAAGGUAGUGAAGACAAAGGAUUUUCAUGUUAAACGCAAUUGGAUUGAACUUGUACGUUUAACCAAAGAGAGUUUUUAUGAAAGAAAUUUUAUCAAUGACGCUGUAAAAAUAGGUUUAAAAAAACAGCAGAAAAAUUAUUAAUUUAUAUAUUUAAUCUGUUGUUAUAAAUCAAUAAUUAAAUUUUAGUAUUUAUUUUUGUUAUUAUAACAUAAGAUAAUAUUUUAUUUAUUUAUUUAUAAUGAAUUAAAAAGUAGUUAAAUUAUAAUUUUAUUAAAUAUAAAAUAAAUUAUAUAUUAUUACAUACAGUGAAAAAUUAAAAUUCUCUAAAAUUUUCUCAUAAAACUAACAAUAAAUCUACCACGUGUAUUUAUCAUGGUCCAAUAUAUAAAUUUAUAAAAGAGUUUGAAGAAAAUUAAAAGGUCUAUUCAUAACUCAAAAUUCAAAUCAAUUCAAUUAAAUUUAAAGAGCAAAUUAAUCCAACUCGAAAUACAACCAAUUAAAUUCAAGCUAAAUCAUACAACACAUUACUGUUAAAAAGAAACAUAUUUUUUUAUUAAAUUUUAUAAUAUUUUUAUAUAUUAAAAAUAAUAAAAUAUAAUAAUUACUCACAAUAAAUAUAUAACUGAUAAAUAAAUUUAUAAUUAGUAUUAUUUAAUUAUAAUAUUAUUAUAAUAAUAUAUUAAAAUUAAUAAAAUAUAUUAUAAAAAAUUUAUUAUAAUAAAAAAUAUAAUAUAAAUAAAAUUAUUAAAUUAUCAUAAUAUAAAAAUAAUAUAUUAAUUAAUUAAUAUAAUUAUAAUAUUUUAAUAAUUAAAAAAAUUAAAUAAUUAUCUUACACUAUUAUGAAUCAUACCGAUCAUUCUUAAAAAAAUAAAAAAGAUAAUAAUAAUUUAGCAAUUUUAUAAAAGAUAAAAACUAAUUUUUACCACUGUUGACAAUAAAAUUUUAAAUUUAUAAAUAUUUAUUAUCUUUUUCUCUUUCUUAACUCUAAGUUCUUUUUUUUUCUUUUUUAUAAAAAAUGAUCUACGUCAAUUGAUUAUCGAUAAAAAAGAACAUGUUAUUGUCCAUAUAAAGAACUUUAGAGAUAUUUCAAUCGUCAUUUAUGAUUUUUAUAUAGUGAAAAUAUUUUUCACAUACAAUCCAAUCAAUUUUUAGAAUAUGCAAACCUUUUUAGCAGACUUACGGCGGCAAUCCUUAAAUAAUUAUUAUAUUGAAGGAUUUGGUUCCUAAUUAUAAGCCGGAUAUUUUAGUUUUGAUAGAAAUAAAAACUCUUAGUUCUCAUAUGAAAUUUUUUCAUAAUUUUUUACAUUUUGAUGAUUGUUUCUCAGUCAAUAGACAAAUAUUAGGAGGAUAUAUUUUGUUAAUGUGAAAGAGUCAUGAGUCUGUUUCUGUGGUUAACUUUUCUUUAAAUUUUAUUGAUUCGGUUGUUUCAAAAUGUAAUGUAAAAUAGAGAUUUACUAGUUAUUAUGGGUUUCCGAAAUCGCAACGAAAAUGUAAGUUUUAGAAUUUUAUUCGAGAUUUAUCUUGUAAAAGCUCUUUUCUGUGAUUUUAUUCGAGAAAUUUUAAUUAUUUAUACUCAAUAGAUAAGAAAGAAGGAAUGUUUUUAUCAAAUUAUAAACAGACACUUGAGAAGUAUUUUUACGAAAUUAUUUUAUGUAUGGAUUUGAUUUUAAAUGAUUGUAAAUCUUUGUUAGAAGUUUAAAAUUAAUAUUUUUGUUAGAUAGAUUUAUCGUAAUACUACUCUAAUUAACUAGAAAAUUUAUUCAGUAUAAUUGUAUUUUUAUUUUAAAUAAUAUUUUUUUUAUUUGAUAAAAUUUUAUUAAUAUAAUUUGUAGUUUUAUUUUUAAAAAAUAAUUUAUAAAUAUUUAAUAACGAUAGUAAAUUGAUAAUUUUUUUAUUUUUAAUCUUAAAUUGAUAAAAAAAAACCAUUUUUAUGGGUAAAAAGGGGAAACUAUUAACAUCGCAUGGGUGUUUCAGGAAGAGUAAAAACAAAACAAAUAGAGAUGUGAGGUCGCACAUCAACAACAUUUAACUAAAGAUUUUCCAAAUCUUUAAAAAGUACUGUCUUGUGGUCCACAUCUUAACUAAAGAUGUUUUCUUUAUUUUAAUUAAAAAACAUUACAAUGAUUAUAAUUAAAAUUUUUAAUUUAUUACAACUCAUACAUAUAUUGUUGAUAAUUGAUUUGAAAUUUCAAAAGACAUGUCCACUUUGACAUCACAUCUUACAGCUCUAUAGGUCCCAUUCCAUACAGACAAUUUUAAUAAAAGCAAUUUAAAUAUCUUUUAUGUUAUUUUUGUAAGAAAUAGAAAAAAAUGUUUAAAUUUAAAAUAAUAUUUAUUUUAAGAAAGUAUAAUAAAAAAAAAAAACAGAACGUUAACUAGAAAUUGAGGGGUGUGAACUGUAUAGUCCAUUAUAGAAGGUUAUAAUAGUCAAAUCGUCCACAAUGGCUUUGUUGUCUUUGUUCAACGUAUGCGCAUGGAAAAAACGAACUUCAUCCACGUGCCGAGUGAGACUAAGGUAAACUUUUAUUGAAUUUACCAUACUACCCUUUUGUUUUCUGUAAUAACCGAAGCGAUUGACUGAUCAUUUGAUUUAAUUCACAAUUUAUGAACUAAUCAUUUGAUUUUUUGUUUUCAAAAAUAUAUUAAUUAAUUUGUCUUUCCCAAGUAUGUCAUCAUAUUUAAUUAUUUUAUGCAAUUUUAAUAUGCAGCUUUUUAAUUAUAUAACAAAAAAAAGAGAAAUAAUUAAUAUAUAUAAAAGCAAAGUAGAUGGUUAUGCCAAUAAUAGCCUUUGGAUUAUUUCUUUUAGAUGGCUUUUCCCAAAUGGUAACUUCUCUGAGGAUCAAAUAGCUAAUAGUUUACAUGUAAAGAAAAAUAUUUUGACCGGAUUCAUAUAGAUUUAUAAUAUAAAAUUAUAAUAAAAUUUAUAUAUAAUAAUUAUAUUUAUUUAUAUAAUAAAUUUGUAUAAAUUUAAUUUAAAUAAAAAUUAUUUGUUAUCUAAUUAUUGCAAGUGAGGCAAUAAUAAAAUAUGACAAGAUAAAAAUUUUAAAAAUAGUUUGAAUUUAAUUUUUUAAAUCGGAGUUAAUUAUAUUAAAAAGAAAUUUAGAGAAAAGAUGAAAGGAAAGCGGCAAAAAAUAUAACACAGUAUUUAUUGUUUCUUUCAAAAAUAUAUAAUAAAAAAUACUUUUAAAGUUUAAUGCUUAACUUCACCCAUCCACUUAUUAAAAAAUUUCAACUCAGCUCAUCUUCAAUUUUUUAUUUUAUUUAGCCUGAAAAUUUUAAAAAUAUUUUAAAAUUUAGACGAGAUGUUAUUUUAAUAUAAAUUAAAUUAUAAAUUUUAAAAUAAAAUUAAAUAAAAUGAUGUAAUAAUUUUUAUUUUUUAAUUAAUAAUUAUAUUUUAUUUAUUAUAUUAUUUUUUAAUAUAUUCUAAUUAAAUUUUAAAAUAUUAAAAAUAAAGUGUAAAAAAUAAAAAAAAAUUAUAAAAAAAUUUAAAUCGAUCAAACUGAACUGAAUCGAAUAGAAACAGAUUCAGUUUGAUUUUUAUAAAUAUUAAAAUUUUAAUUUUUAAUUUAUUCAGUUCGGUUUAAUUUUGAAUUGAACUGACCGAAUGUUCAGCUAACAAUAGAUCAAAGAAAAGAAACUAAUAGGAGGCUAACUGAAUUUUAUUUUAUAAAAAUUUAUUUAAAUUAUUUUUCUAUAAAAUGAAUUAUUGGAGACAAAUCUGAAUGAAUUUAUUAAAUGUGAUAUAGAUGAUCGAAAGAAAACAGAUCAUUUGGUUGCAGUUGAUGGAGCAAAGGAAAGGCUUCAUCUGUUCAAAGCAAAUUUAGUAGAAGAAGGAUCUUUUGAUGCUUUAGUUGAUGGAUGUGAAGCAGUUUUUCAUACAGCUUCACCUGUAAUAUUUUCUGUUACUCGUCCACAGGUUCUUUUCUUGUCCCUUUUAUCUUCUUAAAUCUUAUUCAUAAAUUAAUACUCAAAAGUGAUUAAAGUUCUAUUUCAGUCCUCUAAUUAUUGGGAAAGUUCAAUUUAGUCCUUUUUAAACUUUUUGUUUAAAUUAGCUUAGGAGUUUUAAAAAAUAAAGAAUAUCAAGAAAUUGAGCUUCUUCAUAUUAAGGAGUGUAGUACAAAAAUCAUGAAGUAUUUUAGUAGAAGAAGGAUCUUUUGAUGCUGUAGUUGAUGGAUGUGAUGCAGUUUUUCAUACUGUAAUAUUUUCUGUUACUCAUCCACAGGUUCUUUUCUCAUCCCUUUUAUCUCCUUAAAUCUUAUUCAUAAAUUAAUACUCAAAAGUUAUUAAAGUUCUAUUUCAGUCCUCUAAUUAUUGGAAAAGUUUAAUUUAGUCCUUUUUAAACUUUUUGUUUAAGGAUUCUUAAAAAAUAAAGAAUAUCAAUAAAUUGAGCUUCUUCGUAUUAAGGAAUGUAGUCCAAAAAUCAUGAAAUAUUUUAGCACUUCCAGGCUAAUUUGGAAAAAAAGUGGAAGAUGGACUAAAUUGGACUUUCCUAUCUAGUAUAAGGGUAAAAUUAAUAUUUAGCCAAAGUUGAAGUUUGAAAAAAAUUACUAUUUCAUUCUGCGUGUAGAAUUAGUCCAGCCUACAGGUUAGAGAAUAUGACGUUAGACCGGUCUGUUUUAGAAGAUUCUAGUGUACUUAAAGAUUUAUAUAUUCGCUUGCAAUAUUAAUUUUAAUUUAUUUUUUAUUUAAUUUAAUAGUUAAUAAUAAAUAUAAAUUUUCACACUGAAAGAAUGAAUAUAUGUUAUACUUGAUAGUGAGAUAAAAAUUAACUGUGACAUUUCUGAAACGUUACUGUUAUUUCUUAUUAUUCAAUUACUAUUUCAUUCUGCGUGUAGAAUUAGUUCAACCUGCUUUAUUUACAGGUUAGAGAAUAUAACGUUAGACCGGUCUGUUUUAGAAGAUUCUCGUAUGCUUGAAGUUUUAUAUAUUCGCUUGCAACAUUAAUUUUAAUUUAUUUUUUAUUUAAUUUAAUAGUUAAUAAUAAAUAUAAAUUUUCACGCUGAAACAAUGAAUAUAUGUUAUACUUAAUAGCGAGAUAAAAAUUAACUGCGACAUUUCUGAAACGUUACUGUUAUUUUUUAUUAUUCCUGCAAGAUUAUAUAGAAAUCGUUAACAUUUUACAUAUUAAUAUGUUAUACUAAGCUGUAAUUGUGGAACGUACCAUUCCCUCCGUUUCAUUUCCACAUCACUAUGGAGGUCCCAUCUAACUUUCCAUUAAUUAUUUUUAAAAUAUGUAAAAUACUCUUAAAUAAAAAUUAUUAUUUAAUUAUUAAAUUAUAUAAAAAUUAAUAUUUAUAUCUUUUUUAUAAAAUAAAUAGUUUAAUUUUCAUAUUUUAAUUUUAUCAAACAUUUUUUUUAUGAAAGCCUUUUAAUUUAACAGGACCAUAAUACACGAAUUAAACUGUAUUAAUAUAAUAAAAAAAAUAAUUUAUUCAUUUGAAAAAUGUUUUUUACCUAUCAUUGUUUAUCACGUACAGUUAUUUAUUCAUUGUGUUUGACUUCAACAUCAGCAAACUUCCAUUAAUUUAAAAGCGGUUAAUUGAUUAAUAAAAAAGAUUAAUUAUUUUUUAAAUAAUUAAAAUACUCUUAAGUAUAUAAUACUAUUUAAUUAUUAAAUUAUAUUAAAUUAAUGUUUAUGUACCAAUAGUUUAUAUAUUUUAGUUUUAUAAAAAUAAAAUAUUAUUUUAAUGAAAUAACUUUUAAUUUGACAGAAAUAUAGUAAAAAACUAAACUGUAAAAUUUUAAAAAUAAAAAAAAUGUAUGUUUUAAUUGGAUAUAAAAAUAAUUUAUCCAUUUAAAAAAUAUUUUCACGAAGUAAUGAUGCAAUGUGGGGAUUAAAAAGUAGUGGUUAAUUUCAUUUCAUUUUUAGCUUAGUGACAUUGAACGAAUUAAACUUAGAAUUACUAUACUUUAAUUUUAUUUAAUUCAAAUCUUGAUAAAAAAAAUAUUUUUAUUUAACUGUGUGAUUUAGAUUUUAUUAUUAAAAAAAUAAUAAUAAAAUUUACCAAUUAAAUUAUUAAAAAAAUUAUUUACUGAAAUAAAUUAUCGAUUAUUAAUUGAUGAUUUAAAAUAUCGAUAAUAAAAUUACUGGUCGUUUAUUAAUAAAAAAAUUAUAAUUAUAUUUGAUAUUCUGAAAUUUAGAAAAUAGAUUUACAGUGGUUGUGUAAGUUUGGCGGAAAAAAAGACGUUGCUCCUUUUUUAUUGCUUUUUCUUUUGUCUGUUAAUGAUAUCUAAUUGCAUUUUUGCUACAGUACCACCGGUCUUUAUCAUUCAUAUUCGUAUGUACGGAUGUGUCAGGGUCUAUCUCCAUGUCAGGGUCUAUCUCCAUGUCAGGCAGCCAUUUAAUUCUUCCAUGACGCAUACGGGCAGGGCUACUAGGUGACCGGCCCUACUUCCUUAUCUCUUGUCACGUCACCGAGUUAGGCUCCUCUUAUACGGGCCCAUUCGUGUGGUCUGUUUGGCCUGUUUCACGCUACCGUAUUGGGAUAUGCAGGACCGGUUCACUUGAGUAAGACCUGAUGAAUUUUGGACCGGCGUUCUUCUUUAGGUCUUGGGCCAGCAUUCUUUUUUAGAGUCUAACCUUGCCUCCGGUACAGAAAGUCCAGACGAUUAUUAGUUUCCAACCAUGAGGGGAAUGAAAUUCUGUACAUAAAUCGGUUAAUAAAAGAAUGGAAAAAACUUUUAUUGUGUCGCUUAAGUUAUAUAGGAAUUUUUGAACUCAAAAAUUAAGAAUAAUAAGUUCUUCAUUAUUUAUAGUAGAAUAACUAUUUAAAAUAAUGAAUCAGAUUAUAUUUGUUGAGAAGUGUAAAAUCAUAUGCAUACGAUUUUUAUUAUACAUCUUGAUCAAUUGAAUCAUGUUUUUUAAUUGGAAUACGAAACUUUUGUAAAUGUAUUUCUGGAUAUUUUUUUAUUAUUUCAUGUAAGCGAACGAAAAUUUUCUAAUUCUAUAAAUUUUUCUAGAAUAUAUUUUUUUAAUAUCAUUUAAAAAACUUUCGGAGGUGAUCAAUAUUUUUAUAUUUUUAAUAAUAUUAUUUAAUGUCUUUCCUGAUAUUUCUGUUUUAUUUUCUGAAGUUUUUAAUAUUUAAAAAAUUUGUAAAAAUAAAAUACAGUUUUAGUGACAUAAUUAAACUACUUUUAAAUAAAAUUACUUGCUUUGUUUAAAGAGAAAUUCAUUUCUAGAUUUUAAAAGUUAUGUAGCUUUGAACUUUUUAUAUGAAUUUUACAAUUUUUUAUUUUCUAAUAUUACAAUUAAAAAUAAAAAAGCUUUUAUUUAAAAAAAAAAUUACUUGAAAAUAUUAUCGACAUGCUUGUUAUUUUCUGUAAAAUAAGUGGUUUUUUAGAGUGAAUUAUUUACGGAGAAUUAUUUUUUUUAUUUUUUAAAAUCUAGUUAUAUUCAUUUAUAGGAAACAUGAGCAAUUUUUUUAAAAAUAAAAAAUUAAUAACUAGUUUUCUAAACUUUAGCUAAAAAUUCGAAACACAUUUUAAGUUAUUUUUUUAACUAUUUUUCGAUUUAUUUUUAAUUAUGGAAGUUAUGGAUAUUUUUUUAAUAGAUAAAAAUUAUGAUAUGUGUUUAUUAUUUUCAAUUUGAAAUUGACUUUUAUUAUUAAUAGGUGAAUGAAUUUUUCAUGUUUUCUCUUGUUUCCAUAGAAAAUAAAAAAAAAUUAUAUAUUUUUAGAAAAUAAAAAAAAAGAAAUUUAUUUUGUAUAACUAAACACAAUCUUUAGUUUUCAUUUUCAAUAAAAAUAAAUGAAAACAUGAAAAAACAGGUUGAUCUAUCAAUAAUAAAAAAUUGUUUUCUAGUUAAAAAUAAAAAAAAACAAUAUUCAUAAAGAUGAAAAAUAAAUCAUUAAAAGUUAUAUUUAAAAACUUAAUUAUUUUAGCCAUUAAAAAAACUUAUUUUAGUAUUAUUCAUUUAAAUCUUAAAAUUAUGUUCAUAAUUGAAUGAGAAUUAGGGAAAAAAGCUUCCUUAUUAAUAAAAACUUCUCCGUUCGGCUGUUCUCUGCUGCCGCCGAAGGCUACCAUACCCAGAACAGUUUUAGUCACUGUACCCAAGAAACAGUAAAGCCCACUAAUUUUUGGCCCCGUCGAUGUCAAGCUAGCUCUGCAGAGCUUGCCUCUUUUGUAGAGGACAAUUGGCCAAAUAGAGAACGCACAUUCACGGAGACAUAAACAUUCAGGCCAGAGAGAGACAGAGAGAAUGAGUGGGGAAGGGAAAGUGGUGAGCGUGACUGGAGCAUCUGGGUACAUAGCUUCAUGGCUGGUGAAGUUCUUGCUUCAACGAGGCUACACAGUCAAAGCUGCAGUUCGAGACCCAAGUCAGUAAUAACUCGUAACACUAAGUAAAGCUUUAAUCUUUGAUUCCAUUUCUGUUUCUUAUCUUGCUUUUAGGUGACAUUUUAAUCUUAAAAUUUUCAACAUAUAUUCUGAUCAAAUUAUAUUCUAGGCUGUCUGUGAAGUAGAUAACUUGAUCUUUUGCUCUUGCGUACUGAAUUUUCUUUUUAAUUUUCCGAUCAUUUGUGAUCAUUAAAGUUGUUGGGUUUCUGCGAUUUCUUUAAUUUGAACUUGAUGUAUCAGUAAAUAGCCUAAUUUGAGAUCAUGACCCAAACAGGUGGUUGACUAAGAUAAACCUUAAAAUUAUUUAAUCUGGGUAGCUUAGCCAUGAUUAUUGAAAUAAAAGAUUAUGUUGAUAUAUGGCUCAGAUGAUGCAAAGAAAACUGAACACUUGCUUGUACUUGAUGGAGCUAAAGAAAGACUGCAAUUAUUCAAAGCAGAUUUAAUGGAUGAAGGGUCUUUUGAUCCUGUGGUUGAGGGAUGACGUGAAUGUGUUUUCCAUACAGCAUCUCCAUUUUAUUUAUCUGCAACUGAUCCCCAGGUAAAUCUCCUCUUAGUUGUGAAUUAGUUUUAGAGUCUUUUAAUAUGUGAUGUUGUCAAAAGUUUCAAUUUUCAACUAGUAACCAAAAUGGAAAUCCCUUAAAUACUCGCAGAUCUUUUCAAGAGAUAAUUUAAACAAGUUUAUCAACCAAUGAGUUUAUUCGAAUAUGAGAUAAUUUUCAAGUAGUAACCACUCUUCUUGUUUUUUUAUUAUUAUUAUUUUUUUUUAUUAAUACUCCCAUUGAUAUUUUUCCUUUUUUCCUCUUCAGGCAGAACUUAUUGAUCCUCCAUUGAAGGGAACACUUAACGUUCUUAGAUCAUGUACUAAAGUUCCUUCUAUCAAAAGAGUGGUCAUAACAUCAUCCAUGGCAGCAGUUGCAUUCAAUGGGAAACCUCUUGCUCCUGAUGUAAUAAUUGAUGAGACAUGGUUUUCGGAUCCUGAUUUUUGUGAGAAAUCAAAGGUAUAUAGAAGCACUGACUUCUUAUUACAACAGCAUAUUUCUAAAGGCUUUUUCAGUUAAUGCUGCCCGAAACAAUGUUUAUGCAAUAUCAGUUAGCAAAUCUUGUUACACGAACUGUGGAACCUCUGUCCUAUAAUUUUUUGUUCUGAAAAUAUGUAAAAUUUCUCUCAUUUUGCCUUUCACUUUUCUUUGGCUUGGUUGUGUUGCAUGUUUUAUGCAUUGUAGCAUGCAGACCAGAAACCAUUGUCAGUAUAUGUUCAACAAAUUGUCUUGUUUCUUGUCAGUUAUGGUACAUGCUUUCAAAAACCUUAGCAGAAGAAGCUGCUUGGAAGUUUACAAAAGAGAAUGGAAUAGACAUGGUUACAAUAAAUCCAGGAUUGGUGAUUGGUCCUCUCUUACAGCCAACACUUAAUACUAGCUCAGAGUCUGUUCUGAAACUUAUAAAUGGUAAUUUUUCAUCUAUUUUCUUCUCCUUGCUUGAAAUGUUUUAUAAAUUUAUACUGCCAGGUUUUUCAAAGGUUUCAUCCCUGUAUAAUCUUUAUGUUUGGCUAAUAUUUAAUAAAAUGCAAAUUCCUGUGAGAAUUUCCAGGCCUACUAUGCUUUUGGCACAAAAUCCACAAUGGCUCAAUCCUAAUGACUUGAUAGAAGUUUGAGUUAAACACAAGAAGAAGGAAAAACAUAUUAGACACUCAGCUCAACAACGUACUGAGUCUCAAUCACAAAAUAGUUGAGGUCAAACAUAAGAGACAUAAGAAAGAUAUUAGCAAAUUUAAAAGAAAAAUUUACUAAUUAAUCUCUAUGUUAUGAGAAAACUUAUUAAUUGGAUCUUCAGUUUUGAAAAAUACAUUAAAACGUUCCUAGCAUUUUUAAAUCUACUAAUUAGUGCUUCUGUUAAUUUUAGCUUUUAAGUGUUUUACUAUUUAGUUCUCAUAAUUUGGAAAAAUUCAUUUGUUGGUUCUUCGGUUUUAUAAAAAACCUACUAAUUAGUUCUUCCGUAUUAAAGGCAUUUUAGACUUUUUUGCAAUAUUUAGUAGCCAAAAUUAACAAAGGAACUAAUUAGUAGAAAUUUUAAAAUAUAAGAAAUAUUUUAAUAUAUUUUUCAAAACUGAGAGAUUAACUAAUGAGUUUUUUUAUAUUAAAGACCAAAUAGUAAUUUUUCAAUUGAAAAUUGCUUGAAAACUAAGAAUUCAACAUGUUUUACUGUUCUUAAAAAAGAAAACUAUAACCAAUCCCUGAGAUUCCUUAAUUCUGUCAGAAUGUAAGUGCCUAAUUAUUACUUUAUAUAUAUUUUGCAUGCAAUUAUUUGUGAUGCAAGCAGUUGAGAUGUUUUGAUGCAGGAGCAGAAAAAUAUCCAAAUACAACAUUCAGAUGGGUUGAUGUCAGAGAUGUUGCCAAUGCACACAUUUAUGCCUUUGAGAAUUCUUCAGCUUCUGGAAGAUAUUGUUUAGUUGGGUCAGUUGUACACUCUUCUGAGACUCUGGAGAUUUUGCACAAACUUUUCCCUGAACUCAAGCUUCCUAAAGAGUAAGUUUCUUAGAUAACAUACAUCAUUCCAUUUUACCCAUUGUCUACAUAACGGACAGAGAUGAGCUUGUAUCCAUUUUUAUCGAUUGCAGAUGCGCAGAUGACAAGCCACCCUCGACGAAAUAUCAAGUAUCCAAAAAGAGAGCAGAGAGUCUAGGCGUCAAGUUUACUCCUCUCGACGUAAGUUUGAAGGACACUGUUGAAAGCUUGAAGGAGAAGAACUUAGUUAGUUUUUGACUUGGAUUAUUUUACAUGCUAGUCAGAAACCUGCAACUUAUUUUAUUUAGUCAUUGUUGCUGGCCACAGUUGAGGCCUUCAUGUCUAGGAAGUAAGCACCAGAGGUGAUGUACCUGCAGCUGGAAAAAAUAUUAAUUUAUACUAUGCAAAAGGCUUCUUUAAACCUUUGACAAAUUCCCAAUUGUAGAUUAAACUCAUAACAAUUUUUUUGAUAGUAUUAGAGACAUCAGCAGAGGCGAUCCACUCGCCAUUGGGAGGGUAACGAGCAAUGGUUCAACAAAUGAUAAUUAUAAGCCUUCUAAAUUUUGAUAGUACUAGAGACAUCAGCAGAGGCGAUCCACUCUCCCAGCCACUGGGAGAGUAACGAGCAAUGGUGGCUUGAGAACCAUAAUCUCAUAGAUGGAGAUAUCAAGUGGUAUCGGAGUUGAGGAUGAGAACUAACCGGUUGGGAGAGGAUUGACAUUUAAAGAGAAAAUUGAGAUUUUUAAAGGAAAUGAAGAUUUGAUUGAGAAUGAAAAUGGCAUUUUUAGAGGAAUCAAUUGCUAACCAUGGUUUUAGAGAAGAUUUACAUUUGUAGAGAAAAUGGAGAUUUGAUCAAUGGAGUUGUGUUGUGUAAGAGGAGAAAGGUGAAUAGGUGAUGAGUAAAGAUGAGUGACAGGGGCCGCAAGCUUGAUCAAUGGAGUUGUGUUAAUUGAUGGACAAAAAAAUUGUUAAAGGCAUUUUGCUUUUAUAUUAAUUUAUCCAUUUAGUCAAGAGAUAAAUAUGAUGACGAGGGAUAAAAACAUUAAUAGUAAUAAAAACUCAAAUUGAAACUAUUUAUUAUGAUAAACUCAAAGAUUUGAGCUUAACAGGGGCAGCAAGCUUUUUGGGAUGAUCCAAUCUCACAGCUUGUAGAGCAUCUUCUCUUAUCAAAUUCUUCAAGUUCAUAUUCUGUGCUUUUGUCUAUAUUUCCAGGGAACCAAACAGAAAAAUGAAUAAUUAAAAAAAUUGCAUUGUCUAUUAUAUAAUCUAGAUGACUAUAUGACAAAAAGGAUCAACAUCAUCUGACAUGUUUGUUUGUGGACCAAUCUAACAACUUCAUCAUAAUUCUACAACAAUGAUAAUUGACCAAAUUAUUACCGUCGGUUCAUAUAAGAUUUUCAUUUUAGUAAAUCUUUGAGCUGUACAAGAAAAUGGAGUUGCACAUUAGUUAAUGAGAGAAGAAGAGAAUGAAUAGAGAAGGAAAAGUAGUAUGUGUAACGGGAGGGUCAGGUUACAUAGCAUCGUGGCUGGUCAAGUUCUUGCUCCAUCAUGGAUAUACAGUGAAAGCCACUGUUCUUGAUCUAAGUUAGUAUCCAUCUCCUUAUUUAUUCUGUUUUGUUUCUUUUGAUCUCAGUGUGAUAAAGUCAGGAUGAUAUUUCUGGUUUCUGAUUAAAAUCUUCAAAAUUUGAGUUAUGGAUUUUGUUUUUUUAAUCUUAUCACCCCAAAUCAGUGAGUUAAAAUCAAGUUUUCACCACUGGUAGGUUUCCAACUUGCCCAUUAAGGAGUCUGAUUAUACAUCUGUUGUAUAGAUGAUUUAAAGCAAACUGAACACCUAUUUGCACUUGAUGGAGCUAAGGAGAGACUCUUCUUGUUCAAAGCAAAUUUACUGGAAGAUGGAUCUUUUGAUUCCGCCAUUGAUGGAUGUGAAGGUGUAUUUCACACAGCUUGUCCACUCUUUUGUACAAAUGAUCCACAGGUGUAGACCUUACAGUCGAAUUUCUCUCUUUUAUUGCGGUUAUAAGUGCGUGUCUUUUUAGUACAAUGGGUUUGUCACAACCCAUUGAUUCAGUGUUAGCCAAUAUUUUCAGGCAGAACUGAUUGAUCCUGCAGUGAAGGGAACUCUAAACGUUCAUGUACAAAAGUCCCUUCUCUCAAGAGAGUGAUCAUAACAUCUUCAAUGGCAUCAGUUAUGUUCGACGGAAAGCCUAUGAUACCUGAUGUGGUAAUUGAUGAGACUUGGUUUUCAGAUCCUACCUAUUGCGAGUCAAUAAAGGUGAGAAUAUGUUGCCUGAAAUUCAAACUACCACAGCUUCUGCAAGCUCUAGAUUCACAUUGGUCACUAUCAGAACCUUGUUUCAAUAGCUAGCAUUACACUUUUUAUGGGUUUGUAUUAAUUUUUCUGGGUUUUCUAGCAUUGGUAUCUGUAUGCAAAAACCAUAGCUGAGAAAGCUGCCUCAAAAUUUGCAGAAGAAAGUGGAAUUGACAUUGUCACAAUACAUCCAGGAUUUGUAAUUGGUCCUUUCUUACAGCCAACUCUAAAUGUCACUGUGGAGGUUAUUCUAAACUACAUAAAUGGUAAACUCUUUCUCAGUGUUCUGUCUUUAAAUGUAAUGAUCUCUAACAUGUCCAUUCUUUGUGAAUUGUGGGUUCCUUGCAUGCAGGAGAAACAUUUCCUAAUGAAAUUUACAGAUUUGUCGAUGUUAGAGAUGUUGCAUCUGCACAUAUUCAAGCUUUUGAACAAGCUUCUGCUAAUGGCAGAUAUUGUUUAGUCGGAAAAGUUGUACAUUUCUCCGAGUUCUUGAAGAUUGUUCAUGAACAAUACCCCGCUCUGCAUCUUCCUGAAAAGUAAUCUUUUUUCUUUCUUUUUUUUACCUUUUGAGUGAUACAGGAUUUGACAGUUGUAGAAAUUGUGGUGCAUGAUGUUCUUGGUUAGCAGAUGUGAAGAUGAGAAGGCUUUUGCAUUAAAAUAUGAAGUAAUGCUAAUAAUGAAAUCUGUUAUGUUCUUUUUCAUUUCCACAAGGAUUUUCUAUGUGCAGGAAGUCCAGUUUAUUAAAAUGUAACCGAUUGGAAAAUGUACGGAUUGUGUUGAAUUUAAUAUACAUCGGAAAAUUUUCUACUUUUAUCCUUUCAUUUGUCCAGGUUCAUUUUGUUGGAAAAGAACCCAAAUAAAUUCUUAUACGUUUUUUUAAAAUUAAAAAAAAUGAAAAUUUUAUUAAUUAAAAAAAUUAAAAUUUUUAUUUCAAACUAUAAAAACAAUAGAAUUAAAGUGAAUUAAAUUAAAUUUUUAUAAAAUUUUUAAUAUAUAUAUCAAUAAGUUUUAUUACAAUAAAAUUAGAGUCGUCCCAAAAACCAUAAAAUUUUAAGUUAAAUAUUAAAUAUUUAUUUAUAGUUAUACUAUCUUUUCUUUUGUAUACAUCACACGUUAGUCUGAACUAUUCAGAGAUAAUUAAUAAUUUAAUAAUAAUAAUUUUUUAAACAGAAUUAGAAAUUGAAAGAGUAAACGUUACUCAAAUACAUUAUAGAAUUAUUAUAAAAUUAUUAACAUAGUAUUUUGUUUAAUUAUAGAAUUCAUUUAAAAUGAAUUUUACCCUUUUUGUUUGAUAUAAUUAAAUGGUAUAAUUCGAUUGGAUUUCAUAUAAUUUCCAUCUAAUAUAAUUUCAGAAUUGAAAUUCACUGGCAAAUCUGAUUCGCCUACUACAUCUCCCUCGAAUCCUUUCUCUUGCUCAAUCUCAUUCUUCCGACAAAGACAAAGCAGCGGCUUCAAAUGCCGAUCUUAUUAAUUCAGCUCUUCGGCCUGUGUUUGCAGUCAUUAUCUGGGUUUAUACCGCCUCCAAAUCCAGCUCAAUGCUUUCUGGGAUUGCCGGUAUUUUGCUUGAAUCGGUUUUUUUUUUUUUUUUUUUUUUUCUGCUUUCUGAGGUACUGUUGGUGGCAGCUCCGUCAUAGUAGCUGGUGGUUCCACUUUCUAUUUUUAUUUUAUUAUUGAUUUCUUUUUGUAAACCAUAUUGUGAUGUUAGGUGAGAUUAUUAAAUAAAUAAUUUACCAGUAGCUAUCCAGAUUUUAAGCAGGGGACUGUGACUUGGCUGUAAAUUACCUAGUCUUUAGCACUUUUUUGGAAAAAAAAAAAAAAAAAAAAUCUUUGGCAUCUAUUUUGCUUGCAAAGAUUAGACCUUUUUUAGAACUAAUUCAAAGAAAAAAUGAGUGGAGAAGGAAAGGUGGCUGUGUGACAGGAGGGUCUGGUUACAUAGCCUCCUGGCUAAUCAAAUUCUUGCUUCAAAGAGCUUACACUGUCAAGGCCACUGUUCGUAAUCCAAGUAAAUCCCUCCCCAUCUGUCUCUUUUUUUUUCCUACAAGCUCAGUUGGGUCAUUGGUGAAUCUUAAUUUCUUUGAAAUCUUUGGCAUCUAUUUUGCUUGCAAAGAUUAGACCUUUUUUAGAACUAAUUCAAAGAAAAAAUGAGUGGAGAAGGAAAGGUGGCUGUGUGACAGGAGGGUCUGGUUACAUAGCCUCCUGGCUAAUCAAAUUCUUGCUUCAAAGAGCUUACACUGUCAAGGCCACUGUUCGUAAUCCAAGUAAAUCCCUCCCCAUCUGUCUCUUUUUUUUUCCUACAAGCUCAGUUGGGUCAUUGGUGAAUCUUAAUUUCUUUGAAUGAGGGUUUGAUUUUAUAGUGACUUUGGUUGUGGCUGUGCGGCUGUGGAUCUAAUCUUUUAUGUUUUACUUCUGGUUUUGACUUCAUUUUAUACAAUUUCAUGGGUAUUUAAUUGCUUAUAGCACUUUUUUAUGUGGUUUUGUUGAUUAUUGAUAAUUUUAUAUCCUGCUGUUUGCUUGUUAAGAAUGAAUUGAAUCAGCCCUCACUUCGAUUGAGUAGCUAAAUGACUUAAACUUUUCAUGUAUCAUUAUUUUAAACACCAAGCAAGGACGAUGGAAAGAAAGCAAGAUACUAGCAUAUGAGUAAACUUCUACUAAACUGAUGUGAAAUCUUAAAUUAGUUUGCUUGUUUUAGUGUUUCUUUAACUUUCAAUGUUCUCAUUGGACUCAUACUUCAGUUCAUUGAAUCUGUAUUCUGUACCCCAGAUGAUCUGAAGAAAACUGCACACUUGCUUGCACUCGAGGGAGCCAAGGAAAGGCUUCACUUGCUCAAAGCUGAUUUAUUGCAAGAAGGAUCUUUUGAUGCUGCAGUUGAUGGUUGUGAAGCUGUUUUCCACACAGCUUCCCCUGUAUCUCUUCAAGCCAAUGCGGAUCCUCAGGUCCAUCAUCUUUGACAACCUUUUCACUGCCUUUAUAUGUGAUAGAGUUCCUCCCUUUGGACCUAAACUGCAAUUUCUGACUGUUCUGUUGUCAUUUGGCAUUACAUUUUCUCAUAUUUCUCUAUAAUAACUUGUGCACUAUCUGUGUUAUUUUAUUAUGUUGAUGUAACUGUUCGCCACCGGCUAUUUCGAUGUGUCAGGCAGAACUAGUUGAUCCUGCAGUGAAGGGAACUCUAAAUGUUCUUCGAUCUUGUGCAAAAGUUCCUUCUAUCAAGAGAGUGAUUAUAACAUCUUCAUUCGCUUCUCUUCCAUACAAUGGAAAAAUUCUGGCCCCUGAUGUAGUUGUUGAUGAGACUUGGUUUUCAGAUCCAGCUGUUUGUGCAAAACGGAAGGUUUGUCUUCUAUUAAAAUGCUACUCAUUAUCUUUUGGCCCUGAAAUUAAUUGCUUAACCCUCUGUUUGGAAUCAAGAAUUUCACCAGAAUUCAAUUCAAUUGAUUUUUUUUUUCUAUCAAUUUUUUUGUACGGAAUGAGUGAAAUCAAACUUUUUUAAUUUAAAAAAUUGUCAUUUUAAAAGAGGUCAAAUUCUUGCAUAAUUUUGUAAGAAUUCAUUUGAACUCUUUUCUUGCAAGAUGAAUCACCCUAAACAAGGGGUAAAGGGUAAAAGAAGAUGAAAAAGGGAUAUCUGACCAUCAUGGUUUGUCCUUGAGCAUAUCAAUCUUGAUUACUUCUAAUUUACCCAUCCCAAUUGGAUGGUUGUGAUGAUACAAUGAAAUCAACUUGAUUUUAUAUCUUUAACUGUUUUGUUUAUGAGAUAAUUUGGUCUUUUCUUUCUCCAGCUCUGGUAUCAACUUGGGAAAACGUUAGCUGAGCAGGCUGCUUGGGAAUUUGCAAAAAACAACAAGAUGGAUUUUGUUACAAUACAUCCAGUGUUUGUCCUUGGUCCUCUUUUGCAGCCAACUAUUAAUAGCUCAAUCGAGAUACUUUUCAAUCUCAUAAAUGGUGUGCUCCAGCAACAUAAGAAGACAUGUCCAUUUGAUUACCAAAUAUCUUGACAUUUUAGCAUUAAUUUAAUCACACAAUAUUACAUGAUUUAUUAUGUAACAAUCAGUUGAUUUUGUUUUUUGGGUAGGAGGAGCUCAAGAGUAUCCUGAUGCAUAUUAUAGAUCCAUCGAUGUGAGAGAUGUUGCAUAUGCACAUAUUCAAGCUUUGGAGAUUCCUUCAGCUAGUGGCAGAUAUUGUUUAAUUGAAAGCGACGUUCACUUCUCUGAGGUUCUGAAGAUUGUGCAGCAACAUUAUCUUACAUUGCACCUUCCAAAAAAGUAUGGUUUUUUUAUAUUUUUGCAUGCUCAUGUUGGACCAGCUAUAUGAAUGGCUAAGUUUUAUAAUUAUUUGGAUUACUGAGAAAUAGUUGUUUUGAAUGAUUAAUUUAAUCAUGGAAUAUCAUCUGAGUUGCAGAUGUGGCUCCGGAUUGAAUUACUUAACAAAGUCUGGGGUAUCCAAGGAAAAAGCGAAAACUUUGGGUAUUGACUUCAUUCCUUUGGAGGUUAGUUUGAAGGACACUAUUGAAAGCUUGAAGGAGAAGGGCUUCCUCAGCAUUUGAUUUUUGCUGUUGGAUGAAAAGCAAUGGAAAUUGUUGACUGAUGAGACUUUUUUACUUAAGUUUUAUUUAAUGUUUUGUUUAUGUUGAGAAUUUGAAUCAUAAUAUUAGGAAAGAAAAAGAAGAAAAAUAGAGAACCGAAGAAAGAAUUCUGCUAAGAACUCUCUUGUUAAAAUUGAAAUUAAUAUUUCUUUAUAUAGGCUACAAUUAAAAUUCAAAACUUAAAAAAAUUUUAAAAUAUCUUAACAAAUCUUAUAGUUUGUUUGAAUAAUAAAAAAUCUAGAAUAAUAAAAAACAAUAACUGAAUAUCAAAAUAAAUAUUUGAAAAUUUGAAUUAAAAUCUCAAAUACUUUCCUUUAAUUCAAAAUUUUCUCAAAAUUUAAAUUUUAUGGAUGGAGUAUUUCUCUCUAACUAUUAAUUUGUGAAGCAUUUCUCCUCACUGCAACAAUUGCUGAUGCACUUUUUACCAACCUCACACGGAGCACUUCUUUCCAAAUCAAAUCACGAAACUAACCUCUCCAAAUCAAAUCACUGUACUAACCUUUCAACAUUGUUUUUUUUUUUUUUUUUUGAAUUUAGCACUUCUUUCUAAAAUAAAAUUUCUUAGUACACCUCUCGCCAAUUAAUUUAAAAUAAAGGUUUUAUUUUGUUAUUUUAAUUAAAUUUACUUUUCCUUUUGUUUUCAAAUUUGUAAUUUUUUGUAAAUGACUAAGUUUUUAACAAUGUGGUUUUCCUUUAUAGAUGACUUGACUGAAAUGACUUGAAUGUAUUUUCUGAGUAGUAAGAGUCAAGUUUUCAAUGUAUUUAAAAAAUUUAAACCUUUAAUUGAAAAGCAGAGUGGUUGUGCCUUUAAGAUUUUGAGGUCUGAUAAUGGUAAAGAGUAUAUCUCGAAUGAAUUUAACAAAUUCUAUGAAGAUACUAGUAUUUAACAUCAACUUUUAGUUUCUUAUUCACCUCAAUAGAAUAGAGUUUCUGAGAGAAAGAACAUAACAAUUAUUGAAAUAGCCAAAUGUAUGUUGAAAGAGAAAGUGCUACCAAAGAUGUUUUGGGCUGAAGCUAUUUAUACAACUGUGUAUUUAUUGAUAGACUUCCUACUAGAGCAGUGGAAGGGAAAACUCAGCUGUAGCAUAGUUUGGGUCAAAGCCUUUUGCAAGCCACUUGAAGGUCUUUGGAUAAGUUUGCUACAUACUUGUUCCUAAUGUCAAGGGAGUGAAGCUAGAUGAUAAAUUUGAUUUGAGUAUUUUUCUAAGUUAUAUAAUUUCAUCAAAAUGCUAAAAAAUCUAUAAUGUGCAAACCAAGAAAGUGAUUGUUAGUAGAGAUGUGAAGUUUAAUGAAGGAGCCUAUUGGAACUUUCAGAAAGAGCAUAUUGUUGGAGCAGUAAACUCUAUGUUAGCCAAAAGUUAUUUUUGAAAGCUCUAGCAAUGGAGAUAUAAAAUUUGAAAAAGAAUCUAAUUCUGAUUCAUAAUCUGAAAACGAGUCUAAUUUUGUUUUAGAAUCUGAAAAGGAGUCUAAUUUCGAUAAUGAAGCACAUGCCUUUAAAUUAAGUCUCUUUCCGAGAUUUAUGAAAGAUGUAAUGUGGCUGUGGCAGAACCAAGCUGCUAUGAAGAAGCUUCUCAAACUAAAAAAUGACAGAAUGCUAUAAAAGAAGAAAUUGCAGUAAUUAAAAAGAAUGAAACCUGGGAAUUGGCUUCCAAACCAAAGGGUAAAAAUGUAAUUGGUGUGAAGUGGAUUUACAAAAUUAAAUUAAAUUCUGAUGGCUUUAUCUUCAAGUACAAAGCCAGACUUAUUAUGAAAGGUUAUGCUCAGCAACCAGGGGUUGCUUAUGGAGAUACUUUUACUCCAGUUGCUAGCAUGACACUAUUAGAUUGUUGUUGUCUUUAGCAAUCUAAAAUGGUUGGCAAGUGUUUCACUUUGAUGUCAAAUUUGCAAUCUUGAAUGAUUUGCUAAAUGAGGAGAUUUAUAUCCAGCAGUCUGAAGGAUUUGAAGUAAGGGCUAAGAAGACAAAGUGUAUAAGGUUAAGAAGGCACUUUAUUGCCUGAAACAAGCUUUAAGAGCUUGGUAUGCAAUGAUUGACUCACAUCUGAUCCAAAAUGGAUCUAGAAGGAGUGAAAAUAAGCUAACCUUGUAUGUAAAUAAUGUUGGAGAUGAAUCUCAGCUGAUUGUGUCACUUUAUAUUGAUGAUAUGUUAGUGACUAGUAGAAAUUCUCAGUUAUUGGAUAAUUUUAAGCUGAGAAUGCAAUCUGAAUUUGAAAAAUCAGAUUUGGAAAUUAUGACUUAUUUUCUUGGGCUUGAAAUUGAGCAAGGUGCUGAUGGUAUCUUUAUGUCUCAAAGGAAAUAUGCUCUUGAAAUGCUGAAAAAGUUUAAUUUGGAUAAAUACAAGUUUGUGGUUGUUCCUCUUAUUGUGAAUGAGAAACUUAGCAAGGAUCAUAGAGCUGAACUAGCAGAUGCUUCACUGUACAAAAAUUUGAUUGGUAGUUUGCUAUAUUUGAUUGCUUUUAGACCUGAUUUAAUGUAUUCAACAAGCUUAUUAUCUAAAUUUAUGUAUUUUCCUAGUCAAUUGUAUUUUAUUGCGGGUAAGAGACUAUUGAGAUACUUGAAGGGUAUUGCUGAAUUUGGCUUAUGGUUUCAAAGAGGAAAAGUUGUCAAGCUUGAAGGUUAUGUGGAUAGUGAUUGGCUGAUGUAUUGAUGAUUCAUAGAGCACUAAGCUAUGUUUUUUUCUUAGUUCAAGUCAUUUCUCUUGGAAUUAAAGGAAGCAAGAUGUGGUAGCUUAAUUUACUGUUGAGGCUGAAUAUAUAUUUCAGCUAUUGGUGCUUUAAAUCAAUCAAUUUGGCUUAGGAAACUACUAAAGAAUUUGGGAAUUGAGCAAGUGUACUGUUAUAUGGUAUGAUAAAAAAUCAGCUAUUACCAUUGCAAAUAAUUCUGUUUAACAUGGAAUAACUAAGCACAUUAAAGUGAAAUUUCAUUUUCUAAGAGAAGUAGAGAAAAAAUUCAGAGAUCAAGUUGCUGCAUUGCAAGUAAGUUUGAAAAAUUAAGAAAGAAGCUUGGAGUAUCAAGAAAAAAUCUCAAGAAGUGUUGAUUGAUGAGAUUUUUUCUAGAUACUUAGGUUGCUUAAAUCUUAGUUAAUGUUUCAUUUAAAGUAUACUUUUUAUUGUAGAUGCAAUGAUAUAAUGGUUAGUUAAAUGAUUGUAGUACAAUUCACCGUACCUUAACCAUGCUUUUUUAUUUUAUUUGUAAGAGUUAUUAAUAUCUGUUGUAAUUUGUGUAAUCAGUCUCAUUUUGACUACUUAUUCCAUGAAUCAUAAUCUUUUAGCAAGAGAGGGAGAGACUUAAAAAAGAGUUUUGAAUUUUUUUUUUCUCAAUUCACUACUAAUUUUAAAUAUUAAUUUUUAAUUUUAAAUAUAUAAUUUCAGUAUUUAAUUAUUUAUUCUUUAUUCCAGCUCCUUAAAUACCCGUUUACGGUUUUCAAUAUCUAAUUUUAGUAUUUAUUCUUACUCCAACUCCCAACACAAAUAUUACAUUCUCCUUUCAAGUUCAUUUGUCUUUUAGCUUCUUUUGGUGCAAGAUAUCAUUGCCCUUCAGGAUUGUCUUUACUUGAAAAAAAUGAACCAAUACAAUUUGUAAAAUAUGUAUCAAUUUGUAUACAACUGAAUAUAAACAUAUUAUAUGCGUCACUUGUUUCACUGGUAGAUGAAGUUCAUUACAGGUCUGAUUUCUGAGGAAGUUUUCUUUUUUUUUUUUUUUCUUUUAUCUGAUUUCAUAUCUCAUUCCAAAUAAUAAGACGCAAGAAAAAUAAUAACCAAUUCAGAUUUAAUUCGGUCUUUUCAAAAUAUAUUCAGAAUUCAUAGCCAAUCCAUUUAAUGCUCUAUCUGAUUUCUGGUUCUUGUGAUAUACUCUUACAAAAUUCAUCUAAAAUUCAGGGCUCUUACAUAUUCUGGCAACACAAUUUAUAUAAAAACUGAUUUCUCAGGAAAAAAAGGGAAAAUUAUGUUAUUUGCAUUGAAUGAACAAAUGAUUAGCAUAAUAGCAAAGCUACUUAAAAUCAGAGAAAUUAGAAAAAAAAAAAAAAAUCAGCACAGUUGAGUCUGGGCAUUGCAUGUUGGAUGAUCAAAACAGAGGUCUCGAGUGAGAAUUUAGAUCCUGAAAUACGCAGGCCUGCAGCAAGUCAUUCGAAGAAGUGUGCAAAACUCCCAUCAUUCAGCUUCAUUUCUGCUUCCCGCUCAGCAAGAUUACUCUGUAUCUUGUUUUCUGAACUGCGACAGACAGGAAACUUAUCCCGGUGAGUUUUUAUUCCGGGAUGUCAAGGGCACAACCUGCGUAGCUUAAUGAAUCUCCAUCAUCUUCGCCGCAGGUGUAAGUUAUGAAGAUAACUGCUAGAUGGAGGAUUUUCACACUAUUGAUUUAGCAUUUGUUUCAAGCCAGAUUCAUCAUUAAAUCACAGAUUUGCUUUACAAGCAAUAACUAGGGGGAUUUCAUAUUACUGAAUCGCUUAUUUUUGGAGACAGAAGAAGAGUGCUCACAUUUUGUUUUUACUGCACAAACACUUGAUAAAGAAUCUGAGUGAGAAGUUCCUCUCGCCAAGAACAUUUGCACCCAGAAAUUUCCUUAAAUAAAUAAGGUUUUAACAAGGUGAAUGCUUUGCUUUUUCUUUUUUUGUGAAGAACUUCAGAGUAAACAAAGGUAAGACUAUUGGGUUUUGAUGUUUACCUUGUGUGGGAGAAAUAUGAUGUUUAUCCAGAACUUCAGAGUAAACAAAAUGUAUUCUUAAUGUAUUCUUUUUUAGGAUCCGGCCCACCCAAAUGUAAAAAGUCUUGCAAUUAUUAUAAAUAACAGCAACACUCGAGAAUUAAAUAAUAAACUGAUUUUAUAAAUCAUAUUGUAACGUUAUAGGAGAAUAUCAAAUAAAUAAAUUAUUAAAUUUCUAGAAAUUUUAAAGAAAAAAUUAUAAUUUAAUCAUUAAUUGAUGUUUUUAUUUUUAAAAAGAUAUAUUAAAACAUUAUUAAAAUUUUAAAAUAUUAAAAAUUAAUUUAUUUUUAAAAAAAUUUAAAAUAUUUUUGAUAUUGAAUGAUUAUGUAAUAAAUUUUUUAUAAAAUUAAUAAAUCAAUUAAUAAAUUUUAUGAACAUAUAAAAAUUAAAUAGUAAAAUAUUUAAAAAAAUAAUAAUUUUUAAAUUUUUAAAAUAGUAGAGAUAUUUUAGUAUUUUUUUUUUUUAAACUUAAGUGAUUAAUUUUAAAUAGAGAAGGGUGACUUGAUUGUAAAUUACCUAGUCUUUAGCACUUUUUUGAAAAAAUAAAAUCUUUAGCAUCUAUAUUUGCAAAUUCCUUGCUUUUUUAUUUUUUGGCUUGCAAAAAUUAGACCAUUGUUAGAACUUAGAACUAAUUCAAAGGAAAAAUAAGUGGAGAAGAAAAAGUAGUCUGGUUAUCCUAUCUGUCUCUUUUUGGCCUACAAUCUCAAUUGGGUCAUUGAUGAACCUUAAAUUUUUUUAAUGAGGUUCCGCUGUUUAAUUUCUUGGUUGGGUUUGAUUUUAUACUGACUUUGCUUGUGGCUUUGGAGCUGUGGAUCUAAUCUUUAUGUAUUACUUCUGGUUCUGACUUCAUUUUAUGCAAUUUCUGGUCUGAUUUCUGAGGAAGUUCCUUUAUAUUCAGAUUUCAUAGCCAAUCCAUUUAAUGCUCUAUCUGAUUUCUGGUUUUUGUGAUAUACUCUCACGAAAUUCAUCUAAAAUUCAGUGCUCUUACACAUUCUGGCAACACAAAUUUAUAACCAAAACUGAUUUCUUAAUUAGGAAAAAAGGGAAAAUGAUGUUAUUUGCAUUGAAUGAACACAUUAUUAGGAAAACUACUUAAAAUCAGAGAUAUUAGAAACAAAUUGCAGCAUGGGUAACUUUGAGUAUUGCAUGUUGGAUGAAAGAAACAGAUAGAGCAUGUCAUUCAAAGAAGUACGCAAAACUCCAUCAUUCAGCUUCGCAACUAUUGAGUUGUUUUCUAAACUGUGACAGAUAAGAAACUUGUCCCUGCGAGCUUUAAUUCCAGUAUGUCAAGGACACGACCUGCAUAGCUUAGUGAAUCUCCACCAUCUUCGGCUUGGUUUGAAAUCUGUUUCAAGCCAGAGUCACCAUUAAGUCACUGAUUUUCUUUACAAGCAAUAACUAGGAGGAUUUUAUAUUACAAGUGGAGUCCUUACAACUUACUGUAUAGCUUGUUUUUUGAAGAUGGAAGAAAGGGAGUACUUUCAUUGUGUUUUUAGUGCCUGAUUCUUUGUACUUUCAUUGUGUUUUUAGUACAAAGAAUCUGAGUGAGAAGUUUCUCUCACAAUUCUAAACUCGUGUUUUUGAGAAGCACCUUUGUAUGAAUCUUUUGGCGACACUCUCAAAGUAGUCGUGCAAUGUGUGGAAAUUCUUCUGUGCAAAGCCAGUCAAGUAAUUGUUGCCAUGGCAUGUAGUUGUGGUUUCUUAAUGUCUGUUCUAAUAACUUCUGCACAUGGAAUCAAAUUAAUCUUUAAAUUUUGUGAAAUUCAAAGGAAGGCAAAAUUAUAAAACAAUAAUAAUCAUAAAAAUAAAAUGGAGAGAACUUAGAAGCAUGACCUGCCAAGCAUCCAUGUGAUUCCUCAUACUUGAUGAGCCAUUGAUGGCAAGAACAUAUGCACCCAGAAUUCUCCUUUAAUUAAAUAAGGUUUCAACAUGGUGCACUCAAACUUCUGCACAUAGAGUCAAAAUUAAUCCAUUAUAUCCACGAAAAGAAUAAAGGCAGAAUUACAUUAAAAUAUAAAUAAAAAUGAUGGUUAGAAGAAUGACCUGCCAAUGCAUUUAAAAUCUCUUUGAAUUUGUUUCUCACUUCCCAAUUUAUUAGAAUUUCUGGUUCCAGUCUGUAUGUGUGGGAAAAAAAGGGUUAAAAUUUUAUUAUAAAGCAAAUAAAUUUUAUUAUUGACCUUGAUUGUAAAGAAAUAAUGACAAAAGGAUACUUACGAAAUACAACAUUUGGGAUGUGAGAAAUGAAAGCCCAAUCCGCACCCUUUUUAUUUCCACAUCUUUCCUUCAAUUGGGGACAGUCCACGAUACUCAAUGUUCGUAAAGAGGUGAGGGAAUGCAACUCCUGAGGCAGACACUUCAAUGCCGGACAAGUACCAAUGGUUAGUGUUUGAAGACAAGUGAGAUUCCGCAGUCCAUCUCGAGGUAGAGAUUCGAGCUCUUCAAUGUCCCUAAUCGAAAGGUGCUUCAAUUUAGAGAGAGGAGGAAUGAUCGAGGAAGAAGAAGAGAUUGAUGGUGUGAAUAUUUGGUGCACAAGUUGUGGGCUUGCUUUCUCCAAAUAUAGUGAUUCUUCGAGAGAUGGAAACUGAGGGAUGGAGGUCAAAUUCGGGCAGUUAUCACAAAAGAAAUAUGAAAGACAAGGAAAUUGGAGUAGCUCAAGUGCUGUCGAAUCAUCCCUCUUCUUCUGCCAUCCUUUAAGCUUAGGACAA
Molecule: long non-coding RNA, 28379 nt
Filed under: Manihot esculenta (cassava)
Lineage: Eukaryota; Viridiplantae; Streptophyta; Magnoliopsida; Malpighiales; Euphorbiaceae
Description: long non-coding RNA (MESC_LNC008172)
Source: RNAcentral